RNAcentral lists this ribosomal RNA (499 nucleotides) under uncultured bacterium. RNAcentral's name for it is "partial 16S ribosomal RNA". It matches the Rfam family "Bacterial small subunit ribosomal RNA", at positions 29 to 523 of the family's 1533-position model. The record is from RNAcentral.
AUUGAACGCUGGCGGCAUGCCUUACACAUGCAAGUCGAACGGCAGCGCGGGAGCAAUCCUGGCGGCGAGUGGCGAACGGGUGAGCAAUAUAUCGGAACGUGCCAGUAGCGGGGGAUAACGCAGCGAAAGCUGUGCUAAUACCGCAUACGCACUACGGUGGAAAGAGGGGGAUCGCAAGACCUCUCACUAUUGGAGCGGCCGAUAUCAGAUUAGCUUGUUGGCGGGGUAAAAGCCCACCAAGGCGACGAUCUGUAGCUGGUUUGAGAGAACGACCAGCCACACUGGGACUGAGACACGGCCCAGACUCCUACGGGAGGCAGCAGUGGGGAAUUUUGGACAAUGGGCGCAAGCCUGAUCCAGCCAUGCCGCGUGCGGGAAGAAGGCCUUCGGGUUGUAAACCGCUUUUGUUCGGGAAGAAAUUGACUGGGCUAAUACCUCGGUCGGAUGACGGUACCGGAAGAAUAAGCACCGGCUAACUACGUGCCAGCAGCCGCAGUAA